This 467-nucleotide ribosomal RNA is filed under the name uncultured Campylobacterota bacterium. Its description in RNAcentral is "bacterial SSU rRNA". It matches the Rfam family "Bacterial small subunit ribosomal RNA", at positions 29 to 506 of the family's 1533-position model. Lineage: Bacteria; Pseudomonadati; Campylobacterota. The record is from RNAcentral.
AGUGAACGCUGGCGGCGUGCUUAACACAUGCAAGUCGAACGAGAACGGGAUAUAGCUUGCUAUAUUUGUCAGCUAAGUGGCGCACGGGUGAGUAAUAUAUAGGUAACGUGCCCUUAAGAGGGGGAUAACAGUUGGAAACGACUGCUAACACCCCAUAUGCCCUUAUCACAUAAGUGAGCAAGGGAAAUAUUUAUAGCUUAAGGAUCGGCCUGUACAGUAUCAGUUAGUUGGUGAGGUAAUGGCUCACCAAGACAAUGACGCUUAACUGGUUUGAGAGGAUGAUCAGUCACACUGGAACUGAGACACGGUCCAGACUCCUACGGGAGGCAGCAGUGGGGAAUAUUGCACAAUGGGGGAAACCCUGAUGCAGCAACGCCGCGUGGAGGAUGACACAUUUCGGUGCGUAAACUCCUUUUAUAUAAGAAGAUAAUGACGGUAUUAUAUGAAUAAGCUCCGGCUAACUCCGU